This 700-nucleotide ribosomal RNA is filed under the name uncultured bacterium. Its description in RNAcentral is "bacterial SSU rRNA". It matches the Rfam family "Bacterial small subunit ribosomal RNA", at positions 94 to 823 of the family's 1533-position model. The record is from RNAcentral.
AGUGGCGGACGGGUGAGUAACACGUAAGAAUUUGCCUUUAGGAGGGGGACAACAACUGGAAACGGCUGCUAAUACCCCAUAUGCUUUCGAGUGAAAUGGAUUUUUCCGCCUAAAGAGAAGCUUGCGGCUGAUUAGCUUGUUGGUGAGGUAAUGGCUCACCAAGGCGACGAUCAGUAUCUGGUUUGAGAGGAUGAUCAGACACACUGGAACUGAGACACGGUCCAGACUCCUACGGGAGGCAGCAGUGGGGAAUUUUCCGCAAUGGGCGAAAGCCUGACGGAGCAAUCUCGCGUGAGGGAUGACGGCCUAUGGGUUGUAAACCUCUUUUUUCAGGGAGGAACAAAAUGACGUGUACCUGAAGAAUAAGCAUCGGCUAACUCCGUGCCAGCAGCCGCGGUAAGACGGAGGAUGCAAGUGUUAUCCGGAAUCACUGGGCGUAAAGCGUCUGUAGGUGGUUUAAUAAGUCAACUGUUAAAUCUUGAAGCUCAACUUCAAAAUCGCAGUCGAAACUAUUAGACUAGAGUAUAGUAGGGGUAAAGGGAAUUUCCAGUGGAGCGGUGAAAUGCGUAGAUAUUGGAAAGAACACCGAUGGCGAAGGCACUUUACUGGGCUAUUACUGACACUCAGAGACGAAAGCUAGGGUAGCAAAUGGGAUUAGAUACCCCAGUAGUCCUAGCCGUAAACAAUGGAUACUAGAUGU